ACCAUCAUAGCUCAGUUGCAGAGAUCUGGUCUUGUAAACCAGGGGUUAAGAGUUAGAUCCUCACUGGUGGCU
Trichonephila clavipes is the source of this 72-nucleotide non-coding RNA. The record is from the annotation of a GenBank genome assembly. Lineage: Eukaryota; Metazoa; Arthropoda; Arachnida; Araneae; Nephilidae.